This 221-nucleotide unclassified non-coding RNA is filed under the name Hevea brasiliensis (rubber tree). The record is from RNAcentral. Lineage: Eukaryota; Viridiplantae; Streptophyta; Magnoliopsida; Malpighiales; Euphorbiaceae.
UAUAGUGAUUGAUAAAUAAUGCACAAAGUUGGAGACCAAUUACGUUGCUGCUGCUGAUUGGUUACCUGGCCAUGAAAAUGGAGGGGAUGGCCCAAGUAAUCAUUUUGUCCAAAAAUAAGUGAAUAUAAUGGAUAGGCUUCACCUUUUGGUGCAAACCACACACUAUAAAGCAAAAUAAAGUUAGUGAGGUCUUUAUAUUUCAUGAUUAAGAUGGUUUUUUU